UGGUGGAGCGAUUUGUCUGGUCAAUUCCGAUAACGAACGAGACUCUAGCCUACUAAAUAGUUCGGGGACCCCCACAAAGGGGCCCCGCUUCAACUUCUUAGAGGGACGAGGUGGUCGUUUAGCCACACGAGAUUGAGCAAUAACA
RNAcentral lists this ribosomal RNA (145 nucleotides) under uncultured eukaryote. RNAcentral's name for it is "partial 18S ribosomal RNA". It matches the Rfam family "Eukaryotic small subunit ribosomal RNA", at positions 1299 to 1458 of the family's 1831-position model. The record is from RNAcentral.